CCACACAUAGCGCCACUGCUUAUUACUGCUUAUUUACUUUUGAAAUUUAACUUUGUGGCAGAACAGCAUCCAUUUAAGUGAGUUCUCUAAACUGCGACGUAAAUAGAUUUUUUCGGACUUUCAAGUCCCACAGAAGGUACGGAUAUUUAAAUAAAAAAACGUUGUCUGGCUUUUUCUCUUUUUCUUAGCACUCAACUGCAUUACUAGUAGACUUCCCUUACUUUUUCACCUCUGAAGCUUUAAGGCUAAAACUAUUUAUAUGGGCAGUAGUUUAUAGUUUCCAAUAUUUCUUCUGUAUAUUAUUUUUUAACUAGCGUAGUAAACUAGUGUGUAUAACAUAAUUAGUUAUAUAAAAUCCAGAAAUGUAUGUCUGAGAUCAUUGCAGUCACGCUAUAUUUGUUAUCGAAGCAAACUGACUUCCCAGGUCUAAUUAAAUGUAAAUAAAGCAGGGGAAGAUCAUACAAACGAACCAUUGUCUUUGGCCAAAAGUGAAACAGCAAUUCAAAAAAAAUUCCAACAUCCGCAGCGCGGAUAGAAUGAGCAGAAAUCAUACUAAAUUUCGCCCACAUGUCGAAUAUGUAAAUUGAAAGGUUGCGCCUGCGCACGCGUCAAAUUGAAAGCGAAAUUGAACGUGGGAUUCAAUAAACUGAGGCAUGGCCAUCUCGUGGGCGAUCUGUGGUCACUCUGUGGUUCGGCUUGGAUCCCCCAUUUUGGGUAGGUGGCCACUGUUAAUUGUUGAAAACAUAGCGAUUUAUGCGCAAGUUGCUCGCAUUUUGCGUGGUGUCUACGGAACACUGCUUAAAUUGCCGCCGCUCCACAAAUGGUCAAAAGUCUUUAAUGCCCCCUAAUCGUAGUCAAGAUUGGUGUAAUAUUGACAGUAUACUGGAAUUUACCUUAGAAGGAAAACGAAACACAAUAUAUUUUACAUAACUGCGCAUUUAAAAUUCAAUUAAGUGAACAAAAUUCAUCAGCUAGGCUAGAGGCGAAAUUAAACUAUGUAUAUCUACACAACCAAACAAUAGUUCAUUUUCCAUAAGUAAAUAUUUCAAAGCACAGAAUUAGAUUAGUAUAGAUUGUUACCCUCUAUAGGCUCUAUAAGAAAUUUUCAUCGCAACGUUAAGACAGUCAUCUUUAUUCCCAGUCACACCAUUCGCAUACAAAACCGAUGUCUUAUUUCUCAUUUUGAUUGCCGUACUAUAAUGACAGUGGCUCCGUGUGCAUGCGACUCCCAUUUGAAGCUCGCUUUUCACCAGAGUUUUCGGUUUCAAUUUCCCAUGGCAGCACAGCCCACUCGCAGCAGGCACUCAUAUGUGUAUGUUUCUACGAUUUUCAUCGCUUUUCAGACCGAGUUCGGCCGGAGCACACGCUUUCAUUUGCGUUCGGAAAAUGACCUACUUCCGGAUUAGCAUGCCCGGGCCACUUUUACUGUCGCUCGAUCUGGAAAAGGGCGAUGGAUGGUGGGCAUGGUCAUGGGCAUGGGCAUGGGAGCCAUGCCAUCGAUGGCCAGCGACUAGGGACAGAAGCUAAUGAGGUUGUCGCCGUUGUAUCCACUUGAUAAUAAACAUCCGCCGCGCUGCGCAGCGCGUAAGUGUGUUGCAUGUUUGUUGCAUUUAAUUGUAAUUUAUUUUCCAUGCCACAGAAUGGACAUAGCAGAGAACGGAAGCAAAUAUUUUCCGGUGGAAGCUGGCACAGCGAAAAGGGGAAGUUCCUGUCCUAUACCCUUUUUGCCCUUUCCAACUAUCAAUGAUGCACUAAUUGACUGUUCCACCAGUCUAAUGUGCUAGUAAUCAACCAUAUCCCACCGUACUUAACUCACAGAUAUUAUGAGGUAAAUAUAGUAUAGUAUAGUAAGAAAGGUAUAAAGAAGUUCGCAGGUGCUGGUAACAACAUGUUCAUCUCAAGUUAAAGCAGCUAAUAUGGCAACUUGGCUACCUUCCGAUGACAUCGAUUUGCUAUAUGAGUGCAGUUCUUCGCAUUCGUCGGCUUUUGCUGAAAGGGAGAAAUACCAAACAAAGCCAAUUGCAUUCGAGUGGAUCGAUCAGUGGUGGACCAGAAUCAAUGAACUCGGAGGAAGCCGGAGCGAAUUGCUGGCUAAUUUGGCGCAGCGCACGCGAAAAAUGCGAAGGCAUCGCAGCGCAAAGAACGCGUUGCACUGUUGCUGCCGACAAAAGGAAGCAGCCACUUCCUAUCGAGAGGCGGCAAAAAACACCUGAGCCUGGAGCUGCCAGGUGACCCCAACUGGUGACCCCACCCCGGUGACCCCCACUCGGUGGCAGCGGGCGACUCUUCACACCCAAGCUGGCAUAAUUGCCCGCAUCAGAAGCAGGCAGGUUAAUUAGCCUGGAUUUGGGGGAAUUCUCACCGCCGUGCGGCCAGAAAUCAAAGCGGAAAUUGUUUAUUAAACAAAUCCACAGGCAGUUCUGGUGGGCCGGGCAGCAUCCAUGGCGUGGAUAAUGAACUUUUAAUUGACUUCUGGCAUUUUCGGCUGCCUGCGUGCUGAGACCCAUUAUAGUUCGAAAUUGGGAAUCAUAUGACAUAAUAAUAACCGGGUCUUCGCAGCUCCGGAAGCCUAACAAGCCCAACGUGCCCAAAUAAACAAAGGAGCUAUGUGGAGCACUGGGUAUCGAUAGAGACUUCAAAGGCGAUGUUGUAAGAGCGGUUAAAUGAUAGCGACAGGUAAUGACAGUCACACUUUGAAAGUGGAUCAUUUGCAUUUGUCAAUAUGGUUGACACACAUUUUAUAAUAGUCUGUAUUACAAUUGCACAGCAAUCACCAGUCAGCAUUCCAUUAUAAUCAAUAUAGUUACCACUCACUUUCAUUAAAAAAGAUUUAGGAACCAACUAGCUGUGCGUUUCGUCACUAAUUAAGACAUUUAUACAUUUACAGGAGCACUCGAAUUUAACUUAUUUGUAUUAGCAAAAAUAUCUAAAAACUACUUGUCAUUUUUGACAAUGGGUAUCAUCUUAUAAUCCUAUGAUAUGUUUGAUCUUUGAUCUUCGUCUACUGAGUUAAGAUACAACUUAGGCAGAAUUUCGAGUGGGAGAUAUGAGCUCCGUCAUCAUCAUCAUCAAGCAACUGGAAGAGGCCAUUAGGUGGGCGAGUGGUCAUUAAUGAGUGGGAUCGAGUAGCUUCUCCUUUUCGCCCACAGUCUGGAAUUGAAGAAAAUUUGCCAUAUUAAAAACAAUGGCGCACUGUCUUGUGCUAUCGAAAUUGAAUUCAACCGCAGAGGCUGGGUGAAAAUCAUUACAAUUUUCACUGCCUAUUCAAGCGAAAAACUUUCCUUUUCGAAUGCAGCACUAAUUCGCCUAAUGGCCAUCAGCGCAGCACCCACUAUCAUUACAUCAUCUCGCAUGGAUCAAGCCAUAUAGCCAUGAAGCCAACACUUCCGGCCGACACGCACUUGGUAACAAUGGAGAGGAGGGAAAGUUAUCAGCGCCACAUUACCAUUGGCCAUCUCCUUCUCAAUGAGAAGUGAGACUGGGUAAUUCCAAACGCCAAAACAAUGACACAUAAAUCGCUGAAAAAUCAAGCAUAACAUCAACAUUUUCACAUCUAUCCCAGACGCUACACCCACUGCCACACUCGUAGCAUCCGUGCAAUUUGCGAGAUAAAGAGCAAUCGCAAUAUUACUGGCUGGCAUGUGGAAAGUUGCAAAUUAGCCUGGCUAUGGAAAACAAGCCAACAAGGCAACAAGUCGCUCGUAUUAUUCAGUUACUCAGACUCACUCACUGCCACUGGUAAUGUGAGAAAAAGCGAAAAUGUGCAGCGUUGACACAAUUGUGAGUGCACGAGGCGCUGCAUCCAUAUCCAUGAGACACUUGAGCAGUUGCCAGCGAUUGUCUAGCGCGGCAGUUGCACUGCCACAAUGGCCCCCAGUUGAUGCCGCCACGAGGUGGGAGGCGUCGCGGCACGCCCAGCAAAAGCAGCCAAACUGGCUCAGACUCCAUUCGAUACUGCACUGAAAUCCAAUUCAAUUUGGCUACAAAUUCCUUCACAGAUACGUAGAUGGUCAGAUGUAAUAAUGGAGAAGUUGUUUUUCAGAAUCAGCAAGAAAAAGAUUCCCAAAGUUUCCAACUAUCAA
Molecule: long non-coding RNA, 4082 nt
Organism: Drosophila yakuba
Lineage: Eukaryota; Metazoa; Arthropoda; Insecta; Diptera; Drosophilidae
Exons: 2
Source: RefSeq, a predicted model, not a curated record